UUCUACAUCUUUUUGCCUGACGGGUAACGAUACUUUACCAACGGUUUGGCUGGCAUCUGUUGGGCUAUCUGGAAUUGUAGGAAUCGAGCUACGUUUGAGAUGAAAAAAAUUAUAUCUCCUUUUGAGAUUGUGUUUGAGGCUUGCGUAAACGUGAAAAACUGGGCAGGGCUGCUGAAGACGAACGAUCGCUUGGAUCUGGAGCGGGGGGCAGCACUAUUGAAGGAGAACGCCAAGAACACGAUGAGGAUCUGUGCUACAGCCUACUCGGAGAAGAUCCUGAAGUGA
This 285-nucleotide ribosomal RNA is filed under the name Triticum aestivum (bread wheat). Its description in RNAcentral is "partial small subunit ribosomal RNA". Lineage: Eukaryota; Viridiplantae; Streptophyta; Magnoliopsida; Poales; Poaceae. The record is from RNAcentral.